Molecule: long non-coding RNA, 200 nt
Organism: Cucumis sativus (cucumber)
Lineage: Eukaryota; Viridiplantae; Streptophyta; Magnoliopsida; Cucurbitales; Cucurbitaceae
Exons: 2
Source: RefSeq, a predicted model, not a curated record
GACAGAUGGAAGUCGUAUUCUUGCCUCGGUGACCUUGGAGUUCAGGGAAUAGGAAUACCUAGAUUGGAGGGAGAAGAGUAUCUAUCUAUUGUUGAUGAAUUUAUGGAAGUCGUGCAUACAUUUUGAGGAUUUUCAAAUGAAAUGGGCUUUUGAAACAUUACAACGUUAUCGUAAGAGGUUCUGCAUGUUCAACGAUGACA